This 253-nucleotide ribosomal RNA is filed under the name uncultured bacterium. Its description in RNAcentral is "partial 16S ribosomal RNA". It matches the Rfam family "Bacterial small subunit ribosomal RNA", at positions 524 to 776 of the family's 1533-position model. The record is from RNAcentral.
UACGGAGGGUCCAAGCGUUAUCCGGAAUCAUUGGGUUUAAAGGGUCCGUAGGCGGUUUAGUAAGUCAGUGGUGAAAGCCCAUCGCUCAACGGUGGGACGGCCAUUGAUACUGCUAGACUUGAAUUAUUAGGAAGUAACUAGAAUAUGUAGUGUAGCGGUGAAAUGCUUAGAGAUUACAUGGAAUACCAAUUGCGAAGGCAGGUUACUACUAAUGGAUUGACGCUGAUGGACGAAAGCGUGGGUAGCGAGCAGG